Long non-coding RNA from Xiphophorus couchianus (Monterrey platyfish), 683 nucleotides. RefSeq lists it as uncharacterized. The record is from RefSeq and is a predicted model, not a curated record. The transcript is spliced from 2 exons. Lineage: Eukaryota; Metazoa; Chordata; Actinopteri; Cyprinodontiformes; Poeciliidae.
UAUGUUCCGGGGUUCUCUGGUUCUCUUGGUGGGGUUUUCCUGUGCGCCUUUUCCACCUCUUUCCACCAGAUGGCGACAGGUUCCGGUUGGAGUGCGGUGGUGUCAUCAUCAUCCUCAGCUGUCAUCGAUUACCCUCAUCAGCGGAGCAUACUUUAGGAGUUGUCCGCCAGUCCAGCGUCGCCUGAGUGUUUGCCAGUCACGGUGAUCCCUUUGACACUCUGGACCCGCUGAUUAGAUCCUGGCAGUUUUCCUGGUUUCAGAACCUCCCUCGUGACGCCGUGGAAAGUACCCACUGGUUGCCCGAGUUCCCAGACUCACCUCUCCGUUGUUUUGCAAGUAUUGCCUGGAUCCCACGGCUGGCGGUCGAACCACUCCUCUGUGUCUCCGUUGCACCCGAGCCUACCUGUCCGUUCUUCGCCGCACUCCUCCGUUGUUCCUGGACCCACUAAGAGACCGAGACCCUGGACAUAAUCAGUUACCCUUCAAGAUUCAGACCCAACCACCACAAGUAAGAACAACCUGCGUUUGAUCUGAGAUUUCCAUGUUCCCACGACCCCUGAACUCACCAGUCUGCUCUUUCCCCUCGCAGUGAACCACUGCUGCCCGUAACCGUUGAUUCCCUGGACCAGACCACUUUGCCACACUCUGAUAAUUGUGUAAUCUUAAUAAAGCACUUAAACUGA